This 269-nucleotide ribosomal RNA is filed under the name uncultured prokaryote. Its description in RNAcentral is "partial 16S ribosomal RNA". It matches the Rfam family "Bacterial small subunit ribosomal RNA", at positions 524 to 792 of the family's 1533-position model. The record is from RNAcentral.
UACGGAGGAUGCGAGCGUUAUCCGGAUUUAUUGGGUUUAAAGGGUGCGUAGGCGGCUUUUUAAGUCAGCGGUGAAAUUUUGCAGCUUAACUGUAACAGUGCCGUUGAUACUGGGGAGCUAGGAUUUGGUUGCUGUGGGUGGAAUGUGUGGUGUAGCGGUGAAAUGCGUAGAUAUCACGAGGAACUCCGAUUGCGCAGGCAGCUUACUAAACUACUACUGACGCUCAGGCACGAAGGCGUGGGGAUCAAACAGGAUUAGAUACCCCGGUA